UUUUCUCUGAACGACUAACGUUUUCUUUGUUUCGUGGUUCUCGGAAAAGGAAAAAAACUCAGUGUUAUUUAUGAAUUCCUGCUUUGAUAAUAAAUUAAUCUUUCAACCAUCCACUCCGAGCGGGACUUCCCGGUGUCCAAACAUUUCAAUUCCGAUUUCCAUUCCCGUUCCGACGUGUCAUCCCAUCCCUUGCCAAGAUGAGGCCACCCUCAGGGUGCGGGAUCAGCAACUUGUAUUCCGUCUGGGUGCCCCCACCCACCCUGAUGGCAUGGAUAUCGAUUUCCCCUUCCGGUGAACAAAUUUACCUCAUACCCCUCCGUCCCACUCCCUCUCAUCCCCUCUGUCUUUGUACGUCCUCUCACCUGCUUAUCACUUCACUCUGGGUCCACUGCUCCAUCCCUUUCUCAAUAUAUUGAAGUGUACCUGUGAGUGUCGAUACUCAAAAUAUCCUCACACGUCUGGUGUUACAUGGUUCGACCUUCAUACAUCCAGUUUAGUGUUUAAAUAUAUAAAAAGUUAAAGAAGCUAGAAUCUUUACAUAAAUUAUUAUCGCAACGAUACGUAUAUAAAAUAUUGUAUUUUGGAAGUGACAAAUGUUAACGGGUGGAGAGCAACCAUUUAGGAGGUUUGGAAAUGCAUUUCAUCUAGUUCAUUUCCUCACUAAAUUACUCUUUUUUCCUAUCAACACAAAGAGAAAAAGAGCUUCUUUUCAAUCAACUACAGUUGGUGGAGCGAGGCCAAGGAGUUGAUCAGCUACUAAUCAUAUGAAAUGACGUAAAACUAGCUUGUAACCUAGAAUUUUUUUUUUCCAUUUGGCUUCCAAAACAAAAUUAAAUUUAUCCAGGUGUAGAAGGGGAUUUUGGAUGAUUAGCUUGUGUAUCUGAUCAAAAUCAGGCCGAAGAUGAGCGAGAGUGAAUAUUUCUUUCAUUAUUUUCGACUCUUAAACAUGGGUUUCGAUGUUCAUUCCUUGCUUAAUAUAGCUCCUUCCUGGAAUCCAAUGGUAUCCAUGGGAAAGAGCGGAUGAAUGCUUGCAUUUGUGUCCAGCUAUUUCCCAGCUUCCUAGGACAACGGGUUGAGCGAGAAGGAAUGUCACAAAUACCUAAAUAAAAAACAGUCACAGCUCCAGGAUUUCACCAAAAACGAUCAAAUAUCCUAAUGUUAUUAGUGGUAUUUUUCCCCACUAGCCAACACCCCCUCAUCCCAACCCCCGCUUCCGUAAAAUUCCCUCUAUUUAAUAUCCAGGCUUGCUAAAGUCCGCGCUUGUUUAUUUUGACUGUUUCUCAGAGGUGUCGGAGCGGCUCUCCGGCUCCGCUCUGGUAGCACUGCAGCCCUGAAUGUAUGAGACAGUACAUUGUUAAAUGCAAAACCCUGAACAAUUUCGAUGAUCAGAAGGAUCUUAGACUCCAGGUUCAUCGCUCCCUGAAAGAGACUGCACAGAUUGAUCGGGUGGUUAAGAAGGCAAAUGGCAAGGUUGUCUUUAUUAGUUGAAGCACUGAGUUCAAAACUCAUGAAGUUAUGUUGCAGAUUUGUAAAACUUGUCAGCCCACAUCUGGAGUGUUUCAUACAGUUCUGGUCGCCCCCAUUGUCGGAAGGAUGUCGAAGCCUUGGAGAGGGCGCAGAAGAGGUUUACCAGGACCCUGCCUGGAUUAGAGGGCAUGAGCUAUAACGAGAGUUUGGACAAACUUGUGUUGUUUUCUCCAGAGCGGCGCAGGCUGGGGUGAGACUGGAUGGACGUUUAUCAGAUUACGAGAGGAAUGGAUAGAGUGGACAGAGGUUAGACUUGCAGUGAGAGAUUUAUUGGAAGAAAAACCACGACUGAAGAUGAGGGAACAGCAACAAGUGAACCAGCCCGAGGAUUGAGAGCAUCAACUAGAGAGAACCCAUCUGACUCGGAGAUUCCACUGAUUCAGUCAGGAGAAAGUUUGGUUAGAAAAUGACAAGGAAUUUGUCUACAGGAAUCUCAAACAGAACAUACCAGUUUUGCUGUCUCUAUCCAGAUAUUUAAGAAGUGGAGCAAGGGAUUCAAUCGAUCAUCCUUCCUGCUCAGACUGUGGGGAGGGAUUCACUCGGUCAUCCUUCCUGCUCAGACUGUCGGGAGGGAUUCACUCAAUCAUCUGACCAACUGGCAUGCCCGUCAUUUUGCACAGGGUAGAUGCCAUUCAUCUGCUCAGACAGUGGGAAUGGAUUCAUGCGGACAUUUCAACUGAAGGUGCAUCAGCAAGUUCACACUAGGACAAGGCCAUUCACCUAUUCUGUGUGUGAGAAGGGAUUUAGUCAGUGUACCCACCUGUGGACACACCAGUCAGUUCACACUGGGCAGAAGUUGCUCAUCUGUUGAAUUUGUGGGGAAAGAUUCACUCGAUCAUCUGACAUAAUGGCUCAAAAGCAAGUGGACACCGGGGAGCAGCCGUUCACCUGCUCAGCCUGUGGGAAGGGA
Hypanus sabinus (Atlantic stingray) is the source of this 2437-nucleotide long non-coding RNA. RefSeq lists it as uncharacterized. The transcript is spliced from 3 exons. The record is from RefSeq and is a predicted model, not a curated record. NCBI's taxonomy places the organism in Eukaryota, Metazoa, Chordata, Chondrichthyes, Myliobatiformes, Dasyatidae.